GACGAACGCUGGCGGCGUGCUUAACACAUGCAAGUCGAGCGGAAAGGCCCUGCUUUUGUGGGGUGCUCGAGUGGCGAACGGGUGAGUAACACGUGAGUAACCUGCCCUUGACUUUGGGAUAACUUCAGGAAACUGGGGCUAAUACCGGAUAGGAGCUCCUGCUGCAUGGUGGGGGUUGGAAAGUUUCGGCGGUUGGGGAUGGACUCGCGGCUUAUCAGCUUGUUGGUGGGGUAGUGGCUUACCAAGGCUUUGACGGGUAGCCGGCCUGAGAGGGUGACCGGCCACAUUGGGACUGAGAUACGGCCCAGACUCCUACGGGAGGCAGCAGUGGGGAAUAUUGCACAAUGGGCGGAAGCCUGAUGCAGCAACGCCGCGUGCGGGAUGACGGCCUUCGGGUUGUAAACCGCUUUCGCCUGUGACGAAGCGUGAGUGACGGUAAUGGGUAAAGAAGCACCGGCUAACUACGUGCCAGCAGCCGCGGUGAUACGUAGGGUGCGAGCGUUGUCCGGAUUUAUUGGGGCGUAAGGGCUCGUAGGUGGUUGAUCGCGUCGGAAGUGUAAUCUUGGGGCUUAACCCUGAGCGUGCUUUCGAUACGGGUUGACUUGAGGAAGGUAGGGGAGAAUGGAAUUCCUGGUGGAGCGGUGGAAUGCGCAGAUAUCAGGAGGAACACCAGUGGCGAAGGCGGUUCUCUGGGCCUUUCCUGACGCUGAGGAGCGAAAGCGUGGGGAGCGAACAGGCUUAGAUACCCUGGUAGUCCACGCUGUAAACGGUGGGUACUAGGUGUGGGGUCCAUUCCACGGGUUCCGUGCCGUAGCUAACGCUUUAAGUACCCCGCCUGGGGAGUACGGCCGCAAGGCUAAAACUCAAAGGAAUUGACGAGGCCCCGCACAAGCGGCGGAGCAUGCGGAUUAAUUCGAUGCAACGCGUAGAACCUUACCUGGGUUUGACAUGGAUCGGGAGUGCUCAGAGAUGGGUGUGCCUCUUUUGGGGUCGGUUCACAGGUGGUGCAUGGCUGUCGUCAGCUCGUGUCGUGAGAUGUUGGGUUAAGUCCCGCAACGAGCGCAACCCUUGUUCACUGUUGCCAGCACGUUAUGGUGGGGACUCAGUGGAGACCGCCGGGGUCAACUCGGAGGAAGGUGGGGAUGACGUCAAGUCAUCAUGCCCCUUAUGUCCAGGGCUUCACGCAUGCUACAAUGGCUGGUACAGAGAGUGGCGAGCCUGUGAGGGUGAGCGAAUCUCGGAAAGCCGGUCUCAGUUCGGAUUGGGGUCUGCAACUCGACCUCAUGAAGUCGGAGUCGCUAGUAAUCGCAGAUCAGCAACGCUGCGGUGAAUACGUUCCCGGGGCU
Molecule: ribosomal RNA, 1346 nt
Filed under: uncultured bacterium
Lineage: Bacteria
Description: partial 16S ribosomal RNA
Rfam family: Bacterial small subunit ribosomal RNA
Source: RNAcentral